Molecule: ribosomal RNA, 342 nt
Filed under: Acidilobales archaeon
Lineage: Archaea; Thermoproteati; Thermoproteota; Thermoprotei; Acidilobales
Description: partial 23S ribosomal RNA
Rfam family: Archaeal large subunit ribosomal RNA
Source: RNAcentral
CAUUAAAGGGGAACGUGAGCUGGGUUUAGACCGUCGUGAGACAGGUCGGACUCUACCCACGGGGGGUGCGGGCCGCCUGAGGGGAGGGUGACCCAAGUACGAAAGGAACGGGUCGCCGCGGCCUCUAGUCUACCGGUUGUCCGGCAGGGCAUAUGCCGGGCAGCCACGCCGUAAGGGAUAACCGCUGAAAGCAUCUAAGCGGGAAGCUCGCCCCGAAAAGAGGCGGCCGUUCCGCCCGUUUGGGUGGACGAGGGCUCCCGUAGAAGACGGGGUUGAUGGGGCGGGGGUGUAUGCCCCGAGGGUUUCCCGAGGGGCGAGCCUGCCGCUCCCAAUAGCCCGAGG